UGUCGUCAGCUCGUGUCGUGAGAUGUUGGGUUAAGUCCGUAACGAGCGCAACCCUUGUCCUUAGUUACCAGCACGUUAUGGUGGGCACUCUAAGGAGACUGCCGGUGACAAACCGGAGGAAGGUGGGGAGUGACGUCAAGUCAUCAUGGCCCUUACGGCCUGGGCUACACACGUGCUACAAUGGUCGGUACAAAGGGUUGCCAAGCCGCGAGGUGGAGCUAAUCCCAUAAAACCGAUCGUAGUCCGGAUCGCAGUCUGCAACUCGACUGCGUGAAGUCGGAAUCGCUAGUAAUCGUGAAUCAGAAUGUCACGGUGAAUACGUUCCCGGGCCUU
This 333-nucleotide ribosomal RNA is filed under the name uncultured Pseudomonas sp. RNAcentral describes it as "bacterial SSU rRNA". It matches the Rfam family "Bacterial small subunit ribosomal RNA", at positions 1050 to 1382 of the family's 1533-position model. The record is from RNAcentral. Lineage: Bacteria; Pseudomonadati; Pseudomonadota; Gammaproteobacteria; Pseudomonadales; Pseudomonadaceae.